This is an RNA transcript of Brienomyrus brachyistius, 4049 nucleotides long. It is a transcript of the gene named tripartite motif-containing protein 16-like, with no coding region annotated. NCBI's taxonomy places the organism in Eukaryota, Metazoa, Chordata, Actinopteri, Osteoglossiformes, Mormyridae. The transcript is spliced from 8 exons. The record is from RefSeq and is a predicted model, not a curated record.
GAAUCCUAUCAGUGUUUGUGGUAAAAUGGCAGAAGCCAGAGUUGCAGUGGAUGUAAACGAGUUCAGCUGUCCAAUCUGUCUGGAUCUACUAAAGGAUCCAGUGACUAUUCACUGUGGACACAGUUACUGUAUGAGCUGCAUUAAGAGCUGCUGGGAUCAGGAGGAUCAUGUUGGAGUUUACAGCUGCCCCCAGUGCAGACAGACCUUCAUACCCAGACCUGUUCUGGGCAGAAACACCAUGCUGGCUGAAGUGGUGGAGAAACUGAAGAAGACUGGACUACAAGCAGCUACUCCUGCUGACCAGUAUGCUGGACCUGGAGAUGUGGAGUGUGAUGUCUGUACUGGGAGAAAACACAAAGCUGUCAAGUCCUGCCUGGUGUGUCUGGCCUCCUACUGUGAAACUGACCUGCAGCUUCACAAUAAACUCCACCAUGCAAAACAGCACAAGCUCAUUGAUGCCACCGGCCAUCUGAAGGACAAGGUCUGUUCCCAGCAUGACAAACCCCUGGAGGUCUACUGCCGUACCGACCAGCAGUGUAUCUGUUAUCUCUGUACGAUGGAUGAACACAGAGGCCAUGAUACAGUCUCAGCUGCUACAGGAAGGGCGGAGAUACAGAAACAAAUGGGUGAAACACAGAGGGAAUUUCAGCAGAGAAUUCAGAUGAGAGAGAAGGAGCUGCAGGAGCUGAGAGAGGCUGUGGGCUCAAUCACAACCUCAGCACAGUCAGCAGUGGAGGAGAGCGAGAGGAUCUUCACUGAGAUUAUCAGCUCCAUUGAGAGAAGACGCUCUGAGGUGACAAAGCUGAUCAGAGAUCAGGAGAAGGCUGCAGUGAGUCAGGCUGAAGGAGAUAUGGAGAGACUGAAGCUGGAGAUUGAUGAACUGAAGAGGAGACACUCUGAGCUGGAGCAGCUUUCACACACAGAGGAUCACAUCCAUUUCCUCCAGAGGCGCCAGGCUCUUCCUGUCACUCCUGAAGCUGGAUUUGGACCCAGAAUCUCUGUCUGUCCAAGAUCUGAUUUUGGGAAUUUGAGGAAGGCGGUUUCUGAGCUGAAAGACCAACUGGAGAAUGUUUGCAGAAUGAAAAUGGCAGAGAUCCAUCACCCAGUUACCAAAGACACCGUCCUACCGGUAUUAGUGCCCAGGACCAGAGCAGAAUUCUUACUAUACUCCUGCCAGCUGACGCUGGAUCCCAACACAGCAAACAGCCGCCUGUCUCUGUCAGAUGGGAACAGGAAGGCGACAUGGGGGGCAGAGCAGCCAUAUCCUGAUCAUCUAGAGAGAUUUGACUGCUGGCGCCAAGUUCUGUGCAGAGAGAGUCUGACUGGUCGCUGUUACUGGGAGGCUGAGUGGAGUGCAGAUGGAGCCUGGAUAGGAGUGACUUAUAAAGGAAUCGGGAGGAAAGGAGGGAGGGCUGACUGUGGGCUUGGAUUCAAUGACAAGUCAUGGAUGCUGAGCUGCUCUCCUGACAGUUACUCUGUCUGGCACAAUAAUAACCAGACUGUCAUACCCAUAAAGCCCUCAGGCUCCCGCAGAGUAGGAGUGUAUCUGGACUGGGCGGCUGGUACUCUGUCCUUCUACAGAGUCUCCUCUGAUGGACUGACCCUCCUGUACAGCUUCACCUCCUCAUUCACUGAACGACUCUGUCCAGGGUUUUGUGUUUAUCCAAACUCCCCCGUGUCGCUGUGCAUGCUGGGAUAGCUCACUGUGUGCUGGAGCAAUCAUUUUUACCUUAUCAGAGUGUCACAUGUCGCUGCUUCUCCACGGCAAAAAGGCUGUUGUAAGAUCAUCCCUGGGUGCAUCAAACUUGUGGACCACUGCCUGCAAGGGAGCGGAAAUUGACUGGAACCCUGUCAUAAGCAAAGUUUGAGCCUCAUAAAUUUGUUUAGAAUCAAUGUUUCUAAUUAAAUAGUUUAAUUUCUGUAUUUUACUUGUAUACCACAUACAUAAAGCACAAUGAGCGCUUAAAAUUUCAAUUCACAGGGUAAAACGUCAAAUAAAGUGUUUUAACAGAAUAUUUCAUGUAAUUUCAAGGUCACAGCAAAGUUGCCCUGCAGCCUCAUCGGCAAAGAGCAGGAAACUGAUGAUGUUUCAAUGAUCCGUGUGUUGGCCAGUGAAACUGACAAUGUACUGUAUAUUGGGAAAUUUUAAAAUUUAUUAUAAACACAGUACUGUAUAUUAAUCUGCAAAACAGUCUGAAACUUAACUGAGAUACAGAGGUUAUACACUGAUCAGCCAUAACAUCAUAAUAGGUGAAGUGAAUAACAUUGAUCAUUUGGUUACAGUGCAAUCUGGCUGUGGGGGGGUUAUAUUAGGCAGGAGGUGAACGUUUUGUCCUUGAAGCUGAUGUGUUGGAAGCAGAAACAAUGUGCAAGUGUAAAGAUGGGAGUGACUUUGACAUGGGCCAUUUGGUGAUGGCUAGAGAGCUGGAUCAUAGUGUCUCCAAACCCUCAGCUCUUGUGAGAUGGUCCUGCAGUGGUCAGCAGGUUCAUGGUGGGGCCCAGGCUCACUUUUGUGCCAAAAUAGCCUUGACUCGUCAGGGCGUGGAUUCCGCUAGACCUCUGAAGGUUUGCUGUACUAUCUGGCAUGUAAUGAGCCUCCGUUACCCGUUCACAUAUUUUCCUUCAGUUUUGGAGAUGAUAUGAGUCAUCUAGCCAUCACAACUACGCCCUUGUCACUCAAAUCUUUAGACUUGCCCAUUUUUCUGCAUCCCAGUAUAUCCUACACAUUGUUUAUUUGCUGCCUAAUAGGUCCCACCCACUACUAGGUGCAGUGGUGCUACAUGGUGGUGCAGUGGUUAGCACUGCUGCCUCACACCUCUGGGACCCGGGUUCGAGUCUCCGCCUGGGUCACAUGUGUGUGGAGUUUGCAUGUUCUCCCCAUGUUGUCGUGGGGUUUCCUCCGGGUACUCCGGUUUCCCCCCACAGUCCAAAAACAUGCUGAGGCUAAUUGGCGUCGCUAAAUUGCCCAUAGGUGUGCAUGUGUGAGUGGAUGGUGUGUGAGUGUGCCCUGCGAUGGGCUGGCCCCCCAUCCUGGGUUGUUCCCUGCCUCGUGCCCAUUGCUUCCGGGAUAGGCUCCGUACCCCCCGCGACCCAAUAGGAUAAGCGGUUUGGAAAAUGGAUGGAUGGAUGGAUAUCAGUAAUUUAACCAAAUUCCAAAAUAAUAAAUGUGGACUGGAAAUAAUGGAGGCUAUUGCUUGUGAGGAGUGAAUUGAACUUAAUUUUGAACAAUGUUUCAAAUUGCUACAUACCUAAAAUGUUUGUGGUUUCUUGUAGAAAGAACAGAAGCACUUGAGGUUUGCCUCCAGGACAUCACACCUCCAUUAAAGCACCUUUACAAAGCAGGAGAAAGAGUGAGGUGGAGGUAACAACACAUAGAUGGGUCAAGUAAGCAGCAGGAGCAAGGAGCAGAAGAGGAAAUAGGAAAGAAGAAGGGAGAGGAAAAGAGAGAGAGAGGAGAGAAGACAGAUGAGGAGGAAAAAGCAGUGGAAGAAGGAAGCAACAAACGUAAAGGAGGAAGAGGCUAUGAAGACGGAACUUAUAGCCCAGCGAAGGCUUUCCAAGCCCAAGGGGGCAAGCGGCCGGUAAAAGGAAGGAAGCAACAAAUGUAAAGGAGGAAGAGGCUGUGAAGACGGAGCUUAUAGCCCAGCGAAGGCUUUCCAAGCCCAAGGGGGCAAGUGGCCGGUAAAAGGAAGGAAGCAACAAACGUAAAGGAGGAAGAGGCUGUGAAGACGGAGCUUAUAGCCCAGCGAAGGCUUUCCAAGCGCAAGGGGACAAGCGGCCGGUAAAAGGAAGGAAGCAACAAACGUAAAGGAGGAAGAGGCUGUGAAGACGGAGCUUAUAGCCCGGCGAAGGCUUUCCAAGCCCAAGGGAGCAAGCGGCAGGUAAAAGGAAGGAAGCAACAAACGUAAAGGAGGAAGAGGCUGUGAAGACGGAGCUUAUAGCCCAGCGAAGGCUUUCCAAGCCCAAGGGGGCAAGCGGCCGGUAAAAGGAAGGAAGCUUUUCUCAUUGUAAUUCAUUCAUGCAUGAUAAUAAAACGAUACGUUUAUCAU